GAUGAACGCUGGCGGCGUGCCUAAUACAUGCCAGUCGAGCGAACAGACGAGGAGCUUGCUCCUCUGACGUUAGCGGCGGACGGGUGAGUAACACGUGGAUAACCUACCUAUAAGACUGGGAUAACUUCGGGAAACCGGAGCUAAUACCGGAUAAUAUAUUGAACCGCAUGGUUCAAUAGUGAAAGACGGUUUUGCUGUCACUUAUAGAUGGAUCCGCGCCGCAUUAGCUAGUUGGUAAGGUAACGGCUUACCAAGGCGACGAUGCGUAGCCGACCUGAGAGGGUGAUCGGCCACACUGGAACUGAGACACGGUCCAGACUCCUACGGGAGGCAGCAGUAGGGAAUCUUCCGCAAUGGGCGAAAGCCUGACGGAGCAACGCCGCGUGAGUGAUGAAGGUCUUCGGACCGUAAAACUCUGUUAUUAGGGAAGAACAAAUGUGUAAGUAACUAUGCACGUCUUGACGGUACCUAAUCAGAAAGCCACGGCUAACUACGUG
RNAcentral lists this ribosomal RNA (497 nucleotides) under uncultured bacterium. Its description in RNAcentral is "partial 16S ribosomal RNA". It matches the Rfam family "Bacterial small subunit ribosomal RNA", at positions 28 to 507 of the family's 1533-position model. The record is from RNAcentral.